Xenopus laevis (African clawed frog) is the source of this 931-nucleotide long non-coding RNA. RefSeq lists it as uncharacterized. NCBI's taxonomy places the organism in Eukaryota, Metazoa, Chordata, Amphibia, Anura, Pipidae. The transcript is spliced from 3 exons. The record is from RefSeq and is a predicted model, not a curated record.
AUAAAGAAUAGUAGUACCUGUACCUACUGUACUGCAAAAGGCGGACCCAUGUUUUACUGGGAUGUUUCAAUAUUUGCUGUUUUGUAGUAAGAGGCGUAUGAAUUGCAUUUUUAGAUGGCCUUCAUUGCAUUUACUGCACUGUGUGAGUAGCUUCUCGGCUUCUUUUGAUCUUUCUCGCGCUCACCUUGAUGGAAUCUCACUACUACAGAGCUCAAUAUUUACAUGUCCAUGAAGUGCUGCAGAACAAUAUUUGUGGACUCGUGUUUGAUAAAUAUCUCUGUGCUCAAGAUAGAUACAAUAUACUAAUUUGUACGGCUACUGAUUUGCAUACUUUGUCCUACUGUAACCUGCCCUGCGGUCGCCAUUCCUUGCUUACCUCUAGACGUGCGGACCAGCGGGUUUGGGCUCUCCCGGCACAGAGGCGCAUGCGCGCCAAGCGAAUCUUCGCUCACUGCCUCCACAGUUGACGCAUGCGCUUCAAUAAUCGGAUGCCUGUGUCCAAAUUGGACGCUGAUUGUUUAAUCUCCCUCACCAUUGGUUCCUAUUGCUGCCUAUCUUGCCUAUCUCCCCUCCCAUUGGUCCUUCUGCCUUUAAAUAGCUGCUUCCUUUUUCCACCUUUGCCCAAAAUGGUUCCAGUUUUACUGUUCCUGCCAAAGCGUUUGUUUGUGACUUGACUUCCUGGUUUUGACUUCUGCCCGACCCUUGACUACGAUCUCUGCCUCCUGUCUUGAACUCUUCAACUGACUUUGACUUCGUCUUCUCUAACUCCCUGUUGGUACCUCUCUUACGGACUUGUUUCGUGCUUCCUUGUUGGCUUCCACAGCAGAAAGCCCGGGCCCCAAAAGGGCGUCAGUGAACACCGGACUUUCUGUGUUUUAUAGAAUACUAGACAUUAAGCCCGUUAAAUUAACGGGCGCUAGAACAUAUGUAG